UUUUUCACAACUUUUUUUUGAAU
Molecule: small nuclear RNA, 23 nt
Filed under: Arabidopsis thaliana (thale cress)
Lineage: Eukaryota; Viridiplantae; Streptophyta; Magnoliopsida; Brassicales; Brassicaceae
Description: snRNA_19263
Source: RNAcentral